This 30-nucleotide non-coding RNA is filed under the name Homo sapiens (human). The record is from RNAcentral. Lineage: Eukaryota; Metazoa; Chordata; Mammalia; Primates; Hominidae.
UGAUGAAACUGUAACUUACAAGAAAAGGGC